AUGCUGGGGAGGGGGCGCGGCGGCGACUCCGAGAGGCCGCACAGAGAGCGGCCCUGCCUGUCCCGGAGGGCGAGCAUGCAGGAGCAGAUGUCCUCGUCGUUCAUGGAGUCGCCGCCGCCGCCGCCGCUGCAUCACCUGGACGGCCCCUUCUUCGGCGCCGACCUGCUCCCCUCCGCGCGCCUCCGCCGGAUGCGCGGGUACCGCCCCUCCCCCGGCGGCCUCGAAGAAGAGAUCAUGAUGUUUCAGACAAGAGUGUUGUUGGGAGGAAUGAAUAUGUAUGAUCGGUACCAGGAUUGGCGCCUCGAUGUCGACAACAUGACUUAUGAGGAGUUGCUUGAGCUUGGAGAAAGAAUAGGGCAUGUCAACACAGGGCUACGCGAGGAUGAGAUAAUUCGCAACCUCAGGAAGGUCAAGCCUGAUUCAUCAUUCCGGUUUCCGACGGAAGUGGAGAAGAAAUGCAGUAUUUGUCAAGAAGAGUUUGAAGCAAAUGACGAGAUGGGGAGGCUGGGCUGCGGCCACAGCUACCAUGUUUACUGCAUCAAGCAGUGGCUUUCUCAGAAGAACGUUUGCCCGGUUUGCAAGACUGCUGUCACAAAGACUUGA
RNAcentral lists this ribosomal RNA (603 nucleotides) under Triticum aestivum (bread wheat). Its description in RNAcentral is "partial small subunit ribosomal RNA". Lineage: Eukaryota; Viridiplantae; Streptophyta; Magnoliopsida; Poales; Poaceae. The record is from RNAcentral.